GCGCUCGUGGCGUAAUUGGUAGCCGCGUUGGACUUAGGAUCCAAUGGCGAAAGUCGUGGGGGUUCGAGUCCCCCCGAGCGCA
RNAcentral lists this transfer RNA (82 nucleotides) under Bacteroidales bacterium. RNAcentral describes it as "tRNA-Leu". It matches the Rfam family "tRNA". From Rfam's summary of the family: Transfer RNA (tRNA) molecules are approximately 80 nucleotides in length. Their secondary structure includes four short double-helical elements and three loops (D, anti-codon, and T loops). RNAcentral also lists the same sequence under 1 other name. The record is from RNAcentral. Lineage: Bacteria; Pseudomonadati; Bacteroidota; Bacteroidia; Bacteroidales.